RNAcentral lists this ribosomal RNA (468 nucleotides) under uncultured bacterium. RNAcentral's name for it is "partial 16S ribosomal RNA". It matches the Rfam family "Bacterial small subunit ribosomal RNA", at positions 28 to 507 of the family's 1533-position model. The record is from RNAcentral.
GACGAACGCUGGCGGCGUGCUUAACACAUGCAAGUCGAACGGAAAGGCCCUGCUUUUGUGGGGUGCUCGAGUGGCGAACGGGUGAGUAACACGUGAGUAACCUGCCCUUGACUUUGGGAUAACUUCAGGAAACUGGGGCUAAUACCGGAUAGGAGCUCCUGCUGCAUGGUGGGGGUUGGAAAGUUUCGGCGGUUGGGGAUGGACUCGCGGCUUAUCAGCUUGUUGGUGGGGUAGUGGCUUACCAAGGCUUUGACGGGUAGCCGGCCUGAGAGGGUGACCGGCCACAUUGGGACUGAGAUACGGCCAAGACUCCUACGGGAGGCAGCAGUGGGGAAUAUUGAACAAUGGGCGGAAGCCUGAUGCAGCAACGCCGCGUGCGGGAUGACGGCCUUCGGGUUGUAACCCGCUUUCGCAUGUGACGAAGCGUGAGUGACGGUAAUGGGUAAAGAAGCACCGGCUAACUACGUG